GAAGGAUCAUUACUGAAAAACUAUUUUAAGUUUUUUAUAUCCCAUUGUUUACUUACCCUGGUUGCUUUCACUGGACAGAUUUCACCUUGUGUGGGUCCUUUGGCUUGUGUGAAAUACCACUUGCCAAAGAGUUGCCAGUGGUAAGACCUAUUUAUCAAAACUUGAGUUUCAAUAAACACAACUGUCUGAAUAUUUUUUUUCUUUAAUGAAAUAAAACUUUCAACAACGGAUCUCUAGGCUCUUGCAUCGAUGAAGAACGCAGUGAAAUGCGAUAAGUAAUGUGAAUUGCAGAAUCUCGUGAAUCAUUGAAUCUUUGAACGCACAUUGCGCCCUAUGGUAUUCCAUUGGGCAUGCCUGUCUGAGCGUCAGCUCCCCCUCCACUCAAGAAUCGUUUUAUAUGAUACUUGGAUUACUUUGGAGAUGUAACUGUAUAUUAAGUUGCCCUCCAGAAAUUUAUUGGCGGUAUGGUUUGUACUUGGACCAGACGUAAUAGUAGUGGGGUCGUUUGUUUGGGUAUAAUUGAUUGUACUUGCCUUGACCGUCCCGACCCAUUUUUAUUUUGGGUGACCUCAGAUCAGGUAGGGAUCCCCCCCGCUGAACUUAAGCAUAUCA
RNAcentral lists this ribosomal RNA (612 nucleotides) under Terfezia boudieri. RNAcentral's name for it is "eukaryotic LSU rRNA". The stretch from base 215 to 368 matches the Rfam family "5.8S ribosomal RNA". The record is from RNAcentral. Lineage: Eukaryota; Fungi; Ascomycota; Pezizomycetes; Pezizales; Pezizaceae.